This 281-nucleotide unclassified non-coding RNA is filed under the name Hevea brasiliensis (rubber tree). Lineage: Eukaryota; Viridiplantae; Streptophyta; Magnoliopsida; Malpighiales; Euphorbiaceae. The record is from RNAcentral.
UGUGAAUGUAUUUUACUUAGCUGUUUACAUUUAUGCUUCCCCUAUUUUUUGAAAUCUGUGAUUUUUGUGCUACCUGAUUGUUUGGAUAGCUCAAAUUGUAUUAUUAUAAAAUCUCGUUGUUGUAUCAAAAUUCAGUUCUGAGAGCCCAGAUUGUGUCAGAUAAAGUGUGAACUUCUUCUGCUUAAAAAGCUAGCUAUUUAUAUCAAUGCUUGAUAUUACAGUGCAACCUCCUUGUUCUGAUCACCUGUAACUUUGUAGGUUCUUCUGACAACAAAUGCUGA